CAUCGCCACUACCCCCCCUCGCCCCCCGAAUCCCCAUCAUCAACAUGAAAAAAAAAAGAAGAAAAAAAACUUGCACACUCUAUGAGAGCUCAUCUGUGUAUGCACUUUUCUGUUUGCUGCUUUAUGGGAAAGUUGUGUCUCUCUCUCUUUUUCUCUCUCCUCUUUUUUUUUCUCCCUGCCCAUCUUUGCGUCUAACAUGUGCCUUGGAUGUGCUCAUGCUUUUGGCACAGAACGGCCGCAGCGCGCCGCCUUAUGCGGGUGAAUGGCAGUAGCAGUUUUUUAAAGUCUUACCCCCUUAAACGAUCAACAAACCCGACAUCCUAUCCACCAACCCAGCAAAUUAUACGUCUGGGAUUUUGAGUGCCCCCCACCUUUCCCUCCGCAAGAGGGACAUUUACCUUUAUACCAUACGAUUCACAUGGACAUCUCUGUUCCUCUGCUUCUGGCACCUUGGACACUUUCUGCUGCCCUCGCAGUCAUCUGGUUGGACGGUGAGGAAUCAUGGCGAAAAGGCAGCAACUGCUCGCUGCACGAAGCAGGGAGAGGAAUCCAUCACAGGAUCUCAGGGAUUUUGCUCUUCACUGAACCAGAGUAAGGUUCGAUGAUGAUCGGGAGCUUUAAGUGACCAAACCCUCAAAACUGGAGACAUGAGGAUAGACGCACAAUCUCUAAGGUGGAGGAGUUAUUUGGAUGAAGAAGGAACGAAGCUAAUUUUUGGCCAGAAGAAGCUGUGGGAUUCACUGGACUCUCAAAACAUGGCAACAUCGCAAAACAGAUGAUACAACGCUUUUGUAUGAAACUAUACUUAUACUAGGAAAAUUAUGUAUUUUUAUAUGCUGGCAAGAAAAAAAAUACCAACAGACUCAAAAUUCAUGAAAUGGAUGCAACUAAAUCUUGACUUUCGGCUGCUCAGCAAACAUAUCUCAAAUCCUAGAACAACUGAGGAGAAAAUGAACAAUUACAGAUUGAAUAGAAUCACAAUAGUGGCAAAGAAUCGACGAUGAAAGGCAGCUCUAUAUCUGCCUGUGACCGCUGCAGCAACUGGAAGAUGUCCUUGUGAACCAAGCUUUCAACAAGGAGCCCUAAUAAAGAAACAUUGUUAAAGAAUUUAGUUCUAAAGAGAAAUUUCCUAAAUUCUGUGAACCACUGAAAGAAAAAAAGUCUCUUUUGGGUCCACAGCCAUUUUGUCAGACCAUCCCUAGAUACUGAUUUCAAGGUACAGUACAUUGGGAAGAAUAUAGGGCCCAGUUAUCAUGGUAUACAGUUGUUUCAUAUUAGGGUUAGGGUUUUCUUGGUACCAUGGCAGUUUUCAUGGGUCAGCUAUAAUAUAUUCAAGUUAGGAAGUGACAUAUUUGUUAUAGACCCAAAAGAGCAUAGUUUUGGAAUGACCAGCCCAAUACUUGGACCAUAAAUGUAUAGUGGUGGAUGUUCUUUUUCUGGGUGUAUCAUUAAAAUAAGUGGUCCUCCUAAUUGUCAAUCAUUCUGUUAAAUUGUUCAUGUAAAGUCGUCCUACGUGCUCAUACCCAUCUUCACUUACAGUGCUAGUGGUGAGUCUGACAUAGUGGAAAAAUUAAAAAUCUUUCAGAAAGUAAGCUUGUAUGAGUGAUGUAAACAGCAACUUUUGAAAAGAGCGUGCACGAGGAGAAAUGGGCUGGUGCACGUGUUUAAUAUGCAUUCCCUCUCGGGAGCGGGUACAAGGUUGUGCAUGUGCAUUUUUUUUCAAAAGUGCAAAGGACGGGUCUUUUACAUUUUCCGCGAAAAUCCCCCACUAUACCUUUAAUCCAAAUGAAAACCUGUAAGACGAGGUUUGCUAUGCUUCUUCUGUGGUAAAACAAAUAAAAUCUGAGAAUCUCUUAAGUCGGGAUUACCGAGAAGUUCUUAUCAUGAUAUCGUUCAAGCUUGUAUAAAAAGUAUUACCAUGAGCUCUGUUUUACUUUUAUAAACACAUUGAAAUUUUGUAAACUAUUUUAAUCAAUUUUACUCUAUAAAGCACUUUAAAAAAUGAAUGAAACUGAUUGUUUACUGUUGACCAAACUGAUAAAAUGUCCAUUACUUCGUUCCAACAGGCAUCAGUUUGUUUAACACAUAAGGAAGCCUUCUGAAAUGUGUUGAAAAUUAUUUCCCUCAUUAAAGCCUUCUUUGUGUAAAAAUGACUGAGUUUAUCAAGGAGAUUUCUUGACAAGUAAAUAAAGAUUUUCCUUCACUGAAA
Cyprinodon variegatus (sheepshead minnow) is the source of this 2209-nucleotide long non-coding RNA. RefSeq lists it as uncharacterized. The transcript has 4 exons. NCBI's taxonomy places the organism in Eukaryota, Metazoa, Chordata, Actinopteri, Cyprinodontiformes, Cyprinodontidae. The record is from RefSeq and is a predicted model, not a curated record.